ACUUAAGUGAUGACUUGGUGAGAUCACCGAUUUCAAUAAAGUAGGUGCUUUACCUUCAGUUCCACCAGGUGAUGCUGUGGGGAAGAAAUAACAGUUACUGAUGGGAUGCUUUCAGAUAAGACAUGGCAUACUGUCCGUACCUAUCUGACCAGGCUUAUACACAGGUUUCUCUGUCU
Pogoniulus pusillus (Red-fronted tinkerbird) is the source of this 176-nucleotide long non-coding RNA. RefSeq lists it as uncharacterized. The record is from RefSeq and is a predicted model, not a curated record. The transcript is spliced from 3 exons. Lineage: Eukaryota; Metazoa; Chordata; Aves; Piciformes; Lybiidae.